CCAACGGCCCUCUUUAGGGCCACAAUUGUUGAACGAAACGAAUCAU
Haemonchus contortus (barber pole worm) is the source of this 46-nucleotide non-coding RNA. The record is from Rfam. Lineage: Eukaryota; Metazoa; Nematoda; Chromadorea; Rhabditida; Trichostrongylidae.